CCUACGGGUGGCAGCAGUGAGGAAUAUUGGUCAAUGGGCGCAAGUCUGAACCAGCCAAGUAGCGUGAAGGAUGACUGCUCUAUGGGUUGUAAACUUCUUUUAUACAGGAAUAAAGUGAGCCACGUGUGCCUUUUUGUAUGUACUUUAUGAAUAAGGAUCGGCUAACUCCGUGCCAGCAGCCGCGGUAAUACGGAGGAUCCGAGCGUUAUCCGGAUUUAUUGGGUUUAAAGGGUGCGUAGGUGGGUUGUUAAGUCAGUUGUGAAAGUUUGCGGCUCAACCGUAAAAUUGCAAUUGAUACUGGUAGCCUUGAGUGUAGUUGAGGUAGGCGGAAUGCGUGGUGUAGCGGUGAAAUGCUUAGAGAUCACGAAGAACUCCGAUUGCGAAGGCAGCUUACUAAACUAUCACUGACAUUGAUGCUCGAAAGUGUGGGGAUCAAACAGGAUUAGAUACCCGUGUAGUC
RNAcentral lists this ribosomal RNA (460 nucleotides) under uncultured bacterium. RNAcentral's name for it is "partial 16S ribosomal RNA". It matches the Rfam family "Bacterial small subunit ribosomal RNA", at positions 338 to 795 of the family's 1533-position model. The record is from RNAcentral.